GACGAACGCUGGCGGCGUGCUUAACACAUGCAAGUCGAACGGAAAGGCCCUGCUUUUGUGGGGUGCUCGAGUGGCGAACGGGUGAGUAACACGUGAGUAACCUGCCCUUGACUUUGGGAUAACUUCAGGAAACUGGGGCUAAUACCGGAUAGGAGCUCCUGCUGCAUGGUGGGGGUUGGAAAGUUUCGGCGGUUGGGGAUGGACUCGCGGCUUAUCAGCUUGUUGGUGGGGUAGUGGCUUACCAAGGCUUUGACGGGUAGCCGGCCUGAGAGGGUGACCGGCGACAUUGGGACUGAGAUACGGCCCAGACUCCUACGGGAGGCAGCAGUGGGGAAUAUUGCACAAUGGGCGGAAGCCUGAUGCAGCAACGCCGCGGGCGGGAUGACGGCCUUCGGGUUGUAAACCGCUUUCGCCUGUGACGAAGCGGGAGUGACGGUAAUGGGUAAAGAAGCACCGGCUAACUACGUG
RNAcentral lists this ribosomal RNA (468 nucleotides) under uncultured bacterium. RNAcentral describes it as "partial 16S ribosomal RNA". It matches the Rfam family "Bacterial small subunit ribosomal RNA", at positions 28 to 507 of the family's 1533-position model. The record is from RNAcentral.